This 497-nucleotide ribosomal RNA is filed under the name uncultured bacterium. RNAcentral's name for it is "partial 16S ribosomal RNA". It matches the Rfam family "Bacterial small subunit ribosomal RNA", at positions 28 to 507 of the family's 1533-position model. The record is from RNAcentral.
GAUGAACGCUGGCGGCGUGCCUAAUACAUGCAAGUCGAGCGAACAGACGAGGAGCUUGCUGCUCUGACGUUAGCGGCGGACGGGUGAGUAACACGUGGAUAACCUACCUAUAAGACUGGGAUAACUUCGGGAAACCGGAGCUAAUACCGGAUAAUAUAUUAAACCGCAUGGUUCAAUAGUGAACGACGGUUUUGCUGUCACUUAUAGAUGGAUCCGCGCCGCCUUAGCUAGUUGGUAAGGUAACGGCUUACCAAGGCGACGAUGCGUAGCCGACCUGAGAGGGUGAUCGGCCGCACUGGAACUGAGACACGCUGCAGGCUCCGACGGGAGGCACCAGUAGGGAAUCUUCCGCAAGGGGCGAAAGCGUGACGUAGCAAAGCCGCGUGAGUGAUGAAGGGCUUCGGAUCGUAAAACUCUGUUAUUAUCGAAUAACAAACUUCUAAUGAACUAUGCACGUCUUGACGGUACCUAGUCAGAAAGCCCCGGCUAACUACGUG